UACGUAGGUGGCAAGCGUUGUCCGGAUUUACUGGGCGUAAAGAGCGCGCAGGCGGUCAGAUAAGUCGAAUGUGAAAGCCCCCGGCUCAACUGGGGAGGGUCAUUCGAUACUGUUCGACUCGAAGGCAGGAGAGGGAAGUGGAAUUCCCGGUGUAGUGGUGAAAUGCGUAGAUAUCGGGAGGAACACCAGAGGCGAAGGCGGCGAACUGGACAGUAACUGACACUCAACUGCGAAAGCGUGGGGAGCAAACAGG
RNAcentral lists this ribosomal RNA (253 nucleotides) under uncultured bacterium. RNAcentral's name for it is "partial 16S ribosomal RNA". It matches the Rfam family "Bacterial small subunit ribosomal RNA", at positions 524 to 776 of the family's 1533-position model. The record is from RNAcentral.